AUGUAAAGUGCCUCAUUUACAUAGAUGCAAAGGCAUUUAAUUAAAUCAGUAAGAAAACUACAUCACAUACAUACAUACAUAAAUCCUAAACUUGUUUUAUCAGCUUUGACACAAUCUCAUUGUGUGGAUGAGCUGUGCAGUAAAACGUUAACAACUCUCAUGGUGUGGCCUUAAAUUGAUGAGUCUCAGCUCUGAGAAACUGUCUGUAAUGCCAAAUGUCUUGUGCCAAAUGUUUAAAAGUUUAAAUAUUAUAAAGAUGUUUUUUGGUCCACAAGGGUGCAGCUCUCAAUAGAUAGAUUGAUAUGAAUCGUCACUCACAGCAAAGAGUUCUGUUUAGCUUUUAAAUGCUCCUUUGUGAGUGUCUGUCGGCAUCUGGGGUUUAUUAUUUCUGUGCCAAUCUGCACUUAACCUACUGACAUUAAAAAACCAGAACAAUUGUGACAGUAAUUCAAAACACUAUUUGAUACAGGUCAGCGGCACAAGCAGGCUUUUAAAGCUGCACAGGGCAGGACAUUUACCAAAGUGGACAGUCUGCGAUCACAUUAUCACAACUUUCUCUGGAUGGAGCUGUUGGAACAGUUUUCCAUUUUGUAUGUUCCUUUUAAUGGUUUAAUUCAUUAUUUCCUGAAGAAAAUGAUCAACACAAAAUUGUCAUGUAUAGAAUUUUUUUUUUUUUUUUUAAAAGGUGGGAUGUCUGGCAUCUUAGGGCAGAAAGACAUGUUCUUGUCUGUGGCAACCCAUUUUGUGAUUUAUGCUGAUAAGAAAUGUGUUGUUUUAGAAAUGUAUCUUGCCUAGUGUUGUCUUAAGUACAGCGACUGAGAAGAAUCAUGAGGUAUUAUCUCACAUUAACUCAUUAUCGUUCUGCAGACAUGAUUUAAUAAAGUUUUAAUGUGAGGUAGAUCAUAGCUCGCAUGGUCUGGUUUUCACCAGUCUGCUAUCUUAACGUCAAUUAUCAUCCUAAUGCAUGAACUCAUGCAAUGUGUGAAAGCUAUUUGGUGUGCUCACAUUAAGAUUUUUUUGUGUCCCAAGAUGCCUCUGCAGUGAUGGAAGAUUAGGUAAUAGAUCUUAUUGCAGUAGAUAACUGCAAUAAGAUCCAUGGAUCACAUCAUGAAGUCAUUUACUUUGAAAUUCAAUCUUUCCCACUCUGAUGUUUUUCAAAAGAUCUUGUGGUUACGGUGACUCACUUUAGGUUAGGCACGAAUGGGAUAUACAAAAUAUGUUUCUGAAAUAUAUUAAUGUGAGUGGAAUGAUUUUCCAUCAACUGUUGAAGGGCCUGAUUAAAUGUGGUGCUGAAAGGUGCCAGGUCAUGAUGCCAUUGAAACUAUAACUAUUUUCCCCCCAAAAUUUUUUUGAAUAAUGUAAUACGCCAUUAUGCCAUUUUCCAUUUUCAGGGAGUCAUAUGACUUUGGGCUAAGAGUCCUUGGUAAAUUACAACACUAAAUCUAAAUCUUGAUAGGAUAUUUCUAGUCAGGUUCUUUUAGCUGUAAAUUUCACCUUCGAAAUUGUAAUAACCUGGGUAACUAAAUUUGUAAAAUAUGCUACCACACCCUGCAGUCACUGAGCUAAUGAGCCUGAGGUCUUUAUUGCUCUGAUUUGCUCAGGUCAAAUUGCAAGGGUAGGAUCCAGAAGUUAAACUAGAAUACCCAACAUGCAUUUCCCUUUCUCUGUCUAACAAUAGCAUUACCUCACUUUCAAAAUAUUCCCAUAAUGCCUUACCUCUGCAGAUCUCGUUAUUCAGAAAUACUUUAUUGAUCCCCGUAGGGAAACUCUUUAAACUCUUUAGACGGAGCUACAGCAACAGGCAGCAUGCGGGCUGGCGCACGCGCACUAUUUCUCACUCUCUCACUGUCAUUCCUCACUGGUUGCCAGAUUGAGUUUGUGAUUGAUUUCAGGUUUGUAAUUGCAGUGUGCUGCCCCCCUGUUGAACUAAAUUUCACGUCCACUGCCAAAUAGAAUUUAAUUGCUGGCUUUGUUUUCAGUUCGCACAUAUGUGACAGUAUAGCAUUAGCUUAAAAUGUCAUUCUUUUUUUUACAACACUGGAGUAUUUUUUACCAUACACUGUAAAUUAUGGAUAGUUUGAAAUGUAGAUAAAAAUAAGCAUUUUGUGUGUUUUUAAACAGAUAUUUCCUAGCCUGAAUGCUGUUGGAACAUAUUUGUAAUAUAUUACACAAUAACUUGAUUUAAUUCAAGUUUUUGAAUUAUUUUUGCCUCCUUUUGCUAUCCUUGAACAGUAUGAGUUUUUUCCCAGCGCCAUUACAGUCUAUUGUCUCCUCAUGGUCGUCUCACUGUCUCUAGUCACGACUUGAGGUUUUCACACAUGAGGAAGAUUCACACAAUGGUGGCACUGUGACACAUGUCCACUGGCUUCCUUUGAUAAAUCAUUGUGACAGACAGGUGCCACAAGUACAGAGUAAACACUGUCUGUGCCAUGCUGGCAGGUGGGGCAGUAAUCUCCAAGGAGGUCUUCUGGCAUGCUUAGUGUUAGCAACUGUCCAUUGCAGCUGUCUGUCAUACAGUAUCUAAACAGGGGAAAUUAACUGGUUCAAAUAAAUGAGAAAAUACAUCAGAGUCACUGACCUCUAGGCAGUUCUGCAUUUUCCUUACCCAUGUCAAACCUACUAUAAAGGGCAAGAAAGCUCUCUUGUAUAUGCUCAAGUUUCACUAGUAUGGAGCCAGAAUGUUGUAGAAUUUAGUGCCUCAUCGCACUAUCCUUGGCAUCUCUAUUUUACCAUUAGGAGCAUUAACGUGGGUGUGGACCAGCGACAGGUCAAGGACUCCCUAAUCUUGUUAAGUCUGUCUAUUAGACCCCUGGUCUGCAGCCUGUAGCCUAUAGCUGCCAUCCCUCACCCAUCUCUGGGUGGUCUGUUUAUUUUACCGGAAAGGAUGAUGUUCAACAUGAGUGAGAUGGAUGGGCAUAAAUCAGUUUUUCUCAUACAAAUGUGACACAGGAGUGUGAGAGUGCGGAGGCUGAAACGUGUUGUUUCAGCUCUGUGAUCUCUUUCUGUCAUCGGGUGAUUUGUAGUGGACUGGAGGGUAAAACUGUCAGUGGUGUUGUAAAAUAAAAAAAGUCUAAAGAUUGACACUGUGGAUGAUGGUUUGUUUAGUUUUCAGUAACAGUUUGGGGUUUGGGGCUGUCUCUGAUGGGAUAUUGGGAUAUUCCCAAUAUAAUGUGGCGAGUGACUGGAAAUGAAUUCACAUAUUCUUUAAAAUGGAGAGAACCUCAAUGGAACUGACAUUAUUUUAACACAGUUUCCCAGUUUACACUGCACAAGUUUAAGUUUGAAGGAUUAAGGGGGAUUUUAAAUCCAUACUGUUAAAAAAAGCAACUGUGUUUUACUAGUCUUGUGCUAAUGAUGUCAUGGCACCUCAAGCACACUUGUAAAACUUGGCUGCUACAUUUUCAUAAAGCAAAACGUGCUUGUUUAACUUCAGACAAAGUAACACAAGGCCUGUUUUUUGCAACACAGCAAAACUCUGUCCAGCUCUCUGACCAUCCAUCACUCAUUACACACAAACAAACUUUCCUGACAGACCAGAACCCAGAUGGAAUGAAACCUCUCCAUAUAAUUGUCUCUUAUGUUUAACAUUUACAGAAAUGGCAGGAUCUGAGUGACCGCCUUUUAUUGUUUUGUUUUGAUUGUAGACUUAAAUGUCAUGGUUUGAGGGUUUAUGUAUGUUAUUUCCUGUUUUAUUUUGAAAUAUUCUCCUUCCCUCAUGUGUCUUGUAGUUUUGCUUCCUGUCUUGGUUUGCCUUUCCCUCCAGUUUUGAUUGUCUGCCCUGUCCUGAUUAGUGCUCCUGUGUCUAGUUAUGUUUCACCUGUGUCUAGUUGUCCUUCCCUCAGUGAGUGUUUAGUCAAUGUGUGUGAAAUGUUCCAUUUUCAAAUGUCAGGUCUUCUGCGUUUGUUCCCCAGUCCUGUAUUUGUCCCUGUGAUCCAGCUUUACCCCUUUGUUACUUUCUGGAUUACUGGACUACUCUUUGCAUUAUUCUUUGUUGGACUCAGUUUUUUUACCUGGACUUCUCAGCCGCCUUUAGUUUUUUUGUGUUGCCUUGUCUGCUUCUGUUACCACCUUCACCCUGCUCCCUGUGUGAGGUGAGCACACUUCCUGACAGUGUGACCUGUGAACCCAUCACCCCCUCUCUGCCCUCUACCCUCCACUCGCUCACUCAGCAGGAGCCACAGGUAAAGCCUGGGUCCUGACUUCAUUGCACUCUUGAAGAUUUUCCCACCAUAUUGCUCUGAGUGACUGCUGCGGUCUGGAAAUGCUCUACCCCACCCCCCCAUCUCUUGGGACCCUGGAUGGAGGAAUGUGGCAGGCUUUGGAAGAAGAAGACAAGCCUGCAGCUCAACGCCCUUCUCCCACCUAACCCUCCCUGUCUGCUCGCCCUCUCCCAGUCACGCACAGCUAAUCCCAGGCAUCGAUCAAGCUGAAUAUAGAUGUCGUAACGGUUUUGAGUGAGUGUGUGGGAGUCUGUCCAGCCACAACAGCUUCUAUAAACUCAAGACACAUCGCCUCCUCUAUUCUACAGUUACAUGUCCUGGAAAUAUCCCUUUUUGUAUCUGUCUACAGGAUAUGUUUGGAUGCCUUGCACAGUGUUGACUGAGUGGGGUCUGUUUGUGGUAAGGGGUAGCAUGGACAGCCCAGCAUGUGAGUCCCUCAACGCCCCUACUCUGGGACUCGCAUGGUGGUUGAUCACCAUCAGGUCAACAACUGCAUUCAGUCAUUUUUGAAAAAUGUAAUACUGAACAAAAAUUGCAAAAAUGCUUAAUUGAACUGCCAUCAAGAGGAAUUUUCCUUCUUCUGCUGCCUCUGGCCAUGUCUCAGAUUUGUAAUGUCAAAGUACCUCUUUGACAUUACUCAGGUAUCAACUGGAUAAAAAGCGUACACCUCCUCCACCCCACCCCUCCCGCACUCACCCCAACAUUGAUUUUCAAAGUAGAAUAGAAGAUAGACACAAAACAAUGUGUAAUUAUUCUGUAAUACCUUUUUCUAUUUUAAAGUUUUUCAAUCUGGCCUGCCAUGAUAAUUAUACUAAUGUAAUUUUUUGGUGUUAUCAAAAUGCACUGUAUACAUUAUAGUUGGGUUGACUUUCUUUCAAACGUAGCUCCAGAAGUUAAGCAGAAGUUUAAAUUGUGAAAUUCUGUCAAUAUAUUGCAAAAAUAAACAUGCUAUUUUAUUUUUU
This is a long non-coding RNA of Siniperca chuatsi (mandarin fish), 5182 nucleotides long. RefSeq lists it as uncharacterized. The record is from RefSeq and is a predicted model, not a curated record. The transcript is spliced from 4 exons. Lineage: Eukaryota; Metazoa; Chordata; Actinopteri; Centrarchiformes; Sinipercidae.